AUGCAGUCGAACGGCAGCACGGGUGCUUGCACCUGGUGGCGAGUGGCGAACGGGUGAGUAAUACAUCGGAACAUGUCCUGUAGUGGGGGAUAGCCCGGCGAAAGCCGGAUUAAUACCGCAUACGAUCUAUGGAUGAAAGCGGGGGACCUUCGGGCCUCGCGCUAUAGGGUUGGCCGAUGGCUGAUUAGCUAGUUGGUGGGGUAAAGGCCUACCAAGGCGACGAUCAGUAGCUGGUCUGAGAGGACGACCAGCCACACUGGGACUGAGACACGGCCCAGACUCCUACGGGAGGCAGCAGUGGGGAAUUUUGGACAAUGGGCGAAAGCCUGAUCCAGCAAUGCCGCGUGUGUGAAGAAGGCCUUCGGGUUGUAAAGCACUUUUGUCCGGAAAGAAAUCCUUGGCUCUAAUACAGUCGGGGGAUGACGGUACCGGAAGAAUAAGCACCGGCUAACUACGUGCCAGCAGCCGCGGUAAUACGUAGGGUGCAAGCGUUAAUCGGAAUUACUGGGCGUAAAGCGUGCGCAGGCGGUUUGCUAAGACCGAUGUGAAAUCCCCGGGCUCAACCUGGGAACUGCAUUGGUGACUGGCAGGCUAGAGUAUGGCAGAGGGGGGUAGAAUUCC
This 621-nucleotide ribosomal RNA is filed under the name Burkholderia sp. RNAcentral's name for it is "bacterial SSU rRNA". It matches the Rfam family "Bacterial small subunit ribosomal RNA", at positions 55 to 670 of the family's 1533-position model. The record is from RNAcentral. Lineage: Bacteria; Pseudomonadati; Pseudomonadota; Betaproteobacteria; Burkholderiales; Burkholderiaceae.